This 282-nucleotide unclassified non-coding RNA is filed under the name Hevea brasiliensis (rubber tree). The record is from RNAcentral. Lineage: Eukaryota; Viridiplantae; Streptophyta; Magnoliopsida; Malpighiales; Euphorbiaceae.
CAGUCUAGAGAUGAGCCAGGACAUACAUCCGAACUAUUUCAUAAAUUUGAUGAUAAAAAGACAACCUCUUUCUUAAAAGGUUCAGAGUUUUAAAAUGGGUCAAACAAUCUGCCACGCAGUUUGCAUACAACCUUCAACUCUCUUUUCUUCCCUAAGACUACUCCCACAACUAAAAAUCCAAAGAGAACAGAAAAUUUAGAAGCACUACUAGAUGUAUGUCCUGGCUCAUCUCUAGACUGAUUUGUCUGCAAAAAGUGCUUCAUCUCUACAGCUCAUCAUGUA